Non-coding RNA from Camelina sativa (false flax), 206 nucleotides. The record is from RefSeq and is a predicted model, not a curated record. Lineage: Eukaryota; Viridiplantae; Streptophyta; Magnoliopsida; Brassicales; Brassicaceae.
AGUUCAUCUUCUGAUAUGAUCAGCUUUGAUUUGUCGAAUGGGGAUCCAUAUCCUCAUCUUGCGGUAGCUUUAGAUGAUGAUCAAUAUGUGGAGUUUCACGUAGAUGAGCUAGCAGAUUUUCCAUCUAAUGCAGAGGAAGAAGAGAGGAUGCUGAUGGAAGCAAUGAUGAAAUCGCUGAAGGAUGUGGAGGUUGAAACUAAUCAGAA